AGCAGUGUUCCUGUGCAUGAGGAGGUGUGGGGCCGCAUCCGGAGCUGCGCUGUGCAGUCGAGCCGAUCUGCCCCAGUGCAUCUAUGAAGCACGGAAUAAAAGGCUCACUUGAUGGAACUGAGCUCUGCUGCUGUGCAAGCACAGCCUGGCCAGGUUAUGUGCUCUGUCUGCCCUUAACCACCUGCCGUGAAUCUCAGCUGGUGCACUCAGUGACUGCUAUCGCUGGCUGUGAAAGAACUCCUGUUCUGGGCUCAGUAUAUAGAAGCAAACCCCAACAGCACACAGAGGCAACAUUCCUGUAUGACACCCCCAUCAUCAAGCCCAGAUGCUCUG
This is a long non-coding RNA of Lagopus leucura (white-tailed ptarmigan), 333 nucleotides long. RefSeq lists it as uncharacterized. The record is from RefSeq and is a predicted model, not a curated record. The transcript has 3 exons. NCBI's taxonomy places the organism in Eukaryota, Metazoa, Chordata, Aves, Galliformes, Phasianidae.